Molecule: ribosomal RNA, 289 nt
Filed under: uncultured Pseudomonadota bacterium
Lineage: Bacteria; Pseudomonadati; Pseudomonadota
Description: uncultured proteobacterium partial 16S ribosomal RNA
Source: RNAcentral
CUACACGGGUAUCUAAUCCUGUUUGCUCCCCACGCUUUCGCGCCUCAGCGUCAGUUUCGUUCCAGAAGGCCGCCUUCGCCACCGGUUUUCCUCCCGAUAUCUACGGAUUUCAACCCUACACCGGGAAUUCUGCCUUCCUCUCCCGAACUCGAGCCACUCAGUUUCCAAUGCCCUUCCGGAGUUGAGCCCCGGGCUUUCACAUCGGACUUAGGUGGCCGCCUACGCGCCCUUUACGCCCAGUGAUUCCGAACAACGCUUGCACCCUCCGUAUUACCGCGGCUGCUGGCAC